Long non-coding RNA from Strigops habroptila (Kakapo), 1093 nucleotides. RefSeq lists it as uncharacterized. The transcript is spliced from 4 exons. The record is from RefSeq and is a predicted model, not a curated record. Lineage: Eukaryota; Metazoa; Chordata; Aves; Psittaciformes; Psittacidae.
CCCGGCGCCUCCUUCUCUACCCCCAGCACCCCUCUGGAGCGGUCGCCGCCAGGUAGCGUUCUCUUCGACGAGGAGAGCCCCCGAGGGAAGCGGAGCCCCGGCUGCGAGCUGCCCUUCCUGGCGCGCACCCCCUCGGCUUCGGCGCUGAGCGGACCCGCCAACAGCAUCUUCUCCUCUCCCCGGCGCUGGCUGCAGCAGAGGAAGGGGCAGCCCUCCCCGCCCGGGCCUCGCCCCGCCGCCUACGUCGUGUGGAAAUCCGAGAGUUCCCUGGCUCAUCCCAAGACUCAGAGGUUGAUCUCCAGUCCACAGACAUAAGAGGGUCUCCCUGUUUUCACUGAAUCCACAUGAAGGUGUUGGACACUUGGAGCACUUUUUUCAAAUCUUUGCAUUGUCAGACUGUGUGGCACGACACAUCUUCAGGCUGCAAAUUCAUAAGAAGAAAACCCCUCCAUGUGAUUCUGUUGUAAGAGAACAGUUUUGGGAAGGUCUGAGCCCCGUGCUGUCAGGACAAGUGAGUACCCACAUCUUUGUGCUGUCUCCCCAUGCCUGGGCUGGGUUGUAUGUCAGCUGCCAUAUAACUGGAUACCUGCUGGUUUCAGCGUUGCUAUUUUCAAGGCGUUAUACAAAUAUUAACUUAUUUAUAACUCUCAGCAAUGACAGAUAUGAAUUAUUUUAAUCUAUAUUUUAAAAUAAACUGCACAUACAUAAUUGUUAUAAUAUUCCCCCUCUUAUUGCAGGCAUGCAUCUUAAUGGUCAUUCAGCUUGGUUUAAUCAUAAAAUAGAAUUUCUCAUAAAGGAUUUAGAUGUUUGCUUUCUAUUUAGUCUUUAUUGGACAGUGACUUGUUCAGUUUUUAGGACAUGAAGGAUUCUCUACCUCUGGGGCUUCGCUCUAGCUGUGGCAAAGCAAGCGUGUUGGAGGAGGUGAAAAAAGCACAUUUUACUGGCUUUGAAAAUGAAAUACAUCAUGGCUAUGAUUUUACUCAGCUGUAAAAGGCAGCUGAGUAGAUGACUGCAAGCGUGGAAGCUUUGGUUUGAGGACUUACACGUUCCCAUCCUAUUAGCUGGCUAAUAAAAGAAGCAUUUGUUGCAAAAA